UGUAGCUUUAAAUCUAUAAUAAAUAUAAGAAGAUGUGGUGUGAGUGCCAAUGAGACAACUCUCCAUCCAAAUAACAAAUUUAUAAAAGUAAACCAUUAUAGGUCAAUGUACGGCCUUCAACACGGAGCCUUGGCUCACACCGAACAAAAAGCUAUAAAGGGCUCAAAAAUAACUAGUGUAAAACCAUUCAAACGGGAAAACCAACGGUCUAAUCUAUAUAAAAAACGAGAAACGAGAAACACGUAUAAAUUACAUAAACAAAUGACA
This 267-nucleotide long non-coding RNA is filed under the name Mytilus galloprovincialis (Mediterranean mussel). Lineage: Eukaryota; Metazoa; Mollusca; Bivalvia; Mytilida; Mytilidae. The record is from RNAcentral.